AAGUCGUAACAAGGUUUCCGUAGGUGAACCUGCGGAAGGAUCAUUAUCGAAUCUAUUAGGGAGGAGUUGUGCUGGCCCUUUUCUGGGCAUGUGCACGCUUCGCUCGAAAGCUUUCAAACCCCUGUGCACAUCUGUAGGGAAUGCGAGCGCCUGCGCUUGCUGACCCUAUGUUUUAUUAUAUACCCAUUGUAUGUCUCUGAAUGUCUAAACACCUUCUGUGCGCUGUAAAAGGCGUGCGGAUUGAAACUAUUAUAACUUUCAACAACGGAUCUCUUGGCUCUC
This 282-nucleotide unclassified non-coding RNA is filed under the name air metagenome. Its description in RNAcentral is "partial contains small subunit ribosomal RNA, internal transcribed spacer 1, and 5.8S ribosomal RNA". The stretch from base 1 to 46 matches the Rfam family "Eukaryotic small subunit ribosomal RNA", at positions 1786 to 1831 of the family's 1831-position model. The record is from RNAcentral.